This 479-nucleotide ribosomal RNA is filed under the name uncultured bacterium. RNAcentral describes it as "partial 16S ribosomal RNA". It matches the Rfam family "Bacterial small subunit ribosomal RNA", at positions 28 to 507 of the family's 1533-position model. The record is from RNAcentral.
GAUGAACGCUAGCGGGAGGCCUAACACAUGCAAGCCGAGCGGUAGAGUUUCUUCGGAAACUUGAGAGCGGCGCACGGGUGCGUAACACGUGUGCAACCUACCUUUAUCUGGGGGAUAGCCUUUCGAAAGGAAGAUUAAUACCCCAUAAUAUAAUGAUUGGCAUCAAUUAUUAUUGAAAACUCCGGUGGAUAGAGAUGGGCACGCGCAAGAUUAGAUAGUUGGUGAGGUAACGGCUCACCAAGUCAAUGAUCUUUAGGGGUCCUGAGGGGGAGAUCCCCCACACUGGUACUGAGACACGGACCAGACUCCUACGGGAGGCAGCAGUGAGGAAUAUUGGACAAUGGGUGAGAGCCUGAUCCAGCCAUCCCGCGUGAAGGAUGACGGUCCUAUGGAUUGUAAACUUCUUUUGUACAGGGAUAAACCUACCCUCGUGAGGGUAGCUGAAGGUACUGUACGAAUAAGCACCGGCUAACUCCGUG